RNAcentral lists this ribosomal RNA (497 nucleotides) under uncultured bacterium. RNAcentral's name for it is "partial 16S ribosomal RNA". It matches the Rfam family "Bacterial small subunit ribosomal RNA", at positions 28 to 507 of the family's 1533-position model. The record is from RNAcentral.
GAUGAACGCUGGCGGCGUGCCUAAUACAUGCAAGUCGAGCGAACAGACGAGGAGCUUGCUCCUCUGACGUUAGCGGCGGACGGGUGAGUAACACGUGGAUAACCUACCUAUAAGACUGGGAUAACUUCGGGAGACCGGAGCUAAUACCGGAUAAUAUAUUGAACCGCAUGGUUCAAUAGUGAAAGACGGUUUUGCUGUCACUUAUAGAUGGAUCCGCGCCGCAUUAGCUAGUUGGUAAGGUAACGGCUUACCAAGGCAACGAUGCGUAGCCGACCUGAGAGGGUGAUCGGCCACACUGGAACUGAGACACGGUCCAGACUCCUACGGGAGGCAGCAGUAGGGAAUCUUCCGCAAUGGGCGAAAGCCUGACGGAGCAACGCCGCGUGAGUGAUGAAGGCCUUCGGAUCGUAAAACUCUGUUAUUAGGGAAGAACAAAUGUGUAAGUAACUAUGCACGUCUUGACGGUACCUAAUCAGAAAGCCACGGCUAACUACGUG